AGCUUUGUACUAACAGUUCCAUAUUGGCAACAUCAGAAUGACAAAAUAGAAAGUAGAGAACAAUCUUCUUAAGCACUGCUCUUGAUAACUUCAUCAUCUACAUAACUUGCUUUCAGCUCGCCCUUAACAUCUGCGUCUUGGAAAUAAUCCUCGCGAGCAUUAUCAGCUAACAUCAAAGCCACCAACCAGAAGAGCGCAGAAUCAAGAGACAAAAAGGCGCCUCCACCAAGAAGACCGGUCUUGGCUGUUGGGCAAUCGGUUUGCAAGUUGUGAUGGAUGUUGCGAGAGAUAUGAAGUUGCUCGGAGAUUGUAGGCCACAAUAAUAAUGCUGCUGCUAAACCAGUUGUGCCCCUUUGAUUCAAAGGCAGAAAAUACCAAAAGAACCAUAAGUUCAAUCACUCGCAUACAACAACAACAACAACAACAACAACAACAACAACAACAAAAACAACAAUAAACCCAGCGUAAUCCAACAAGUGAGGUACGGGGAAGUUAAUGUGUACACAUAUCUUACCCCUAUCCUGUGAAGGUAGAGAGGUUGUUUUAGGUUCAAUCACUCACAUCCCACCAAGAAAGGAAGUGAACUCAAUAGCAUCAUUUUUUGUGAUGAGAUACAAGUUCAAUCACUAAAAGAGAAAAAAUGAGGGAACUAAAAGACAAG
This 661-nucleotide long non-coding RNA is filed under the name Nicotiana tabacum (common tobacco). RNAcentral describes it as "long non-coding RNA (NTAB_LNC013733)". The record is from RNAcentral. Lineage: Eukaryota; Viridiplantae; Streptophyta; Magnoliopsida; Solanales; Solanaceae.